UACUAAAUAAUGCUUUAAGUUAUUAUAUGCUUGGAAACUAGAUGCACUAACAGUAAAAACGUGACAGAUAAAACAGUCACACAAAGCAAAGACAGCAUUCUCUACAUGUAAACUAGUGUAUCCCUAAUUCAUAAUAAAACCCAAUGUAAAGUCAAUCAAUAUCAUAUAUCAAGGGAAAUCAAUCAAGCAUACCCCAACAGAUGCCAAAACAUGAAGAUCAUGCUAAACAUUAAGAAUAACUCAAUGCUGACUACCUUAGGACUUAAAACCAUGCUAAUUGGACUUAUAUUUCAACACUCAACAUUGAAAACAAGGGCCCCUUCUUUCUCAUUAAAAGAUAGAAAUGAAGUAAAAUAAACACAGCAUAACCAUUUUCUCAAAUGAAAAAUCAUACUCUUAAGGCAUAUAGAGGUCAUUGCAAUUAGGACUUCUUAAUAUUAUCAAUAUCAUAUAAAAUAUUAUCGU
RNAcentral lists this long non-coding RNA (465 nucleotides) under Gossypium barbadense (sea-island cotton). RNAcentral describes it as "long non-coding RNA (GBAR_LNC005130)". The record is from RNAcentral. Lineage: Eukaryota; Viridiplantae; Streptophyta; Magnoliopsida; Malvales; Malvaceae.